AAUAGAUACCCAGGUAGUCCACGCCGUAAACGGUGGGCACUAGGUGUGGGUGACAUUCCACGUCGUCCGUGCCGCAGCUAACGCAUUAAGUGCCCCGCCUGGGGAGUACGGCCGCAAGGCUAAAACUCAAAGGAAUUGACGGGGGCCCGCACAAGCGGCGGAGCAUGUGGCUUAAUUCGACGCAACGCGAAGAACCUUACCAAGGCUUGACAUACACCGGAAACGUCCAGAGAUGGGCGCCCCCUUGUGGUCGGUGUACAGGUGGUGCACGGCUGUCGUCAGCUCGUGUCGUGAGAUGUUGGGUUAAGUCCCGCAACGAGCGCAACCCUUGUCCCGUGUUGCCAGCAGGCCCUUGUGGUGCUGGGGACUCACGGGAGACCGCCGGGGUCAACUCGGAGGAAGGUGGGGACGACGUCAAGUCAUCAUGCCCCUUAUGUCUUGGGCUGCACACGUGCUACAAUGGCCGGUACAAUGAGCUGCGAUACCGCGAGGUGGAGCGAAUCUCAAAAGCCGGUCUCAGUUCGGAUUGGGGU
RNAcentral lists this ribosomal RNA (533 nucleotides) under uncultured bacterium. RNAcentral's name for it is "bacterial SSU rRNA". It matches the Rfam family "Bacterial small subunit ribosomal RNA", at positions 777 to 1304 of the family's 1533-position model. The record is from RNAcentral.